GACGAACGCUGGCGGCGUGCUUAACACAUGCAAGUCGAACGGUAAGGCCCUGCUUUUGUGGGGUGCUCGAGUGGCGAACGGGUGAGUAACACGUGAGUAACCUGCCCUUGACUUUGGGAUAACUUCAGGAAACUGGGGCUAAUACCGGAUAGGAGCUCCUGCUGGAUGGUGGGGGUUGGAAAGUUUCGGCGGUCGGGGUUGGACUGGCGGCUGAUCAGCUUGUUGGUGGGGUAGUGGCCUACCAAGGCGUUGACGGGUAGCUGGCCUGAGAGGAUGACCGGCGACAUUAGGACUGGAACAGGGACCAGACUCCUACGGGAGGCAGCAGUGGGGAACGGUGGACAAUGGGCGGUAGCCUGAUCCAGCAAUGCCGCGUGCGAGAAGAAGGCCUUCGGGGUGUAAAGCGCGUCUGGCAGGAAUGAAACGGUGUCCGCUAAUACCGGGCGCUAAUGACGGUACCGGCAGAAUAAGCACCGGCUAACUACGUG
Molecule: ribosomal RNA, 488 nt
Filed under: uncultured bacterium
Lineage: Bacteria
Description: partial 16S ribosomal RNA
Rfam family: Bacterial small subunit ribosomal RNA
Source: RNAcentral